Molecule: non-coding RNA, 88 nt
Filed under: Sporomusa sphaeroides
Lineage: Bacteria; Bacillati; Bacillota; Negativicutes; Selenomonadales; Sporomusaceae
Also listed under: 1 other name
Description: Sporomusa sp. ZTP sequence
Rfam family: ZMP/ZTP riboswitch aptamer (pfl RNA motif)
About the family: Previously known as pfl RNA.
Source: RNAcentral
GUGGAUUUGUGCUACUGACGGUUAAGUGGAGUUUACCACGUGAAGUGCAAAUUCUUGAAAAACAAUGUUGACCGUCUGGGCAAUAAUU